CGUCCAGACUCCUACGGGAGGCAGCAGUGGGGAAUCUUCCGCAAUGGGCGAAAGCCUGACGGAGCAACGCCGCGUGAUCGAAUGAAGGCCUUCGGGUUGUAAAGAUCUGUUGACAGGGACGAAUAAGCAAUGCGAAUAGUUUUGUGUAUGACGGUACCUGUUUAGAAAGCUCCGGCUAACUACGUGCCAGCAGCCGCGGUAAUACGUAGGGAGCAAGCGCUGUCCGGAUUUACUGGGUGUAAAGGGCGUGUAGGCGGAGACGCAAGUCAGGAGUGAAAUCCCCGGGCUCAACCCGGGAACUGCUUUUGAAACUGCGUCCCUUGAGUAUCGGAGAGGCAGGCGGAAUUCCUAGUGUAGCGGUGAAAUGCGUAGAUAUUAGGAGGAACACCAGUGGCGAAGGCGGCCUGCUGGACGACAACUGACGCUGAGGCGCGAAAGCGUGGGGAGCAAACAGGAUUAGAUACCCCGGUAA
RNAcentral lists this ribosomal RNA (472 nucleotides) under uncultured bacterium. RNAcentral's name for it is "bacterial SSU rRNA". It matches the Rfam family "Bacterial small subunit ribosomal RNA", at positions 328 to 793 of the family's 1533-position model. The record is from RNAcentral.